UUGUGCGAGUAGGAGAUGUUGGCAUUCGGUUAAAUCGAAUCACGUGCACCGAUGACCGGGCUCGAUCCGACGGUUAUUAUGUUAUCUAAUUGGAUUAGGAUUAAUCUCGCUUUUAAAUUGGAAAGCUAUUUAGAGAUAAAAUCUAAUCAUAUUAGGAUAACAAUUAAUAACCAAUUUGGCCUUAUCUCUUACGCUAUUAGGAUUUUGGAAUUCCUUAUAAAUAUACGGGCAAUCCCACAUAAAACAUAGAACGAAAAAGAGAGAGAAUAAGAAAACAAAAGAGAGAAACCGCAUCCUCCAUUAACCUAUUAUUCUAUAGGGACUUGAACGGUGGAUUUGUGAUCGUGCUCGUUCGCAGUUCGAUCCACUGCGGGUUCGGAGCGUUAGAAGACCUUCAAGGACGAUCCAAGGACACGUGAAUCAACCUUUACAAUUCGGGCUCAUCGCGUUGUAGCGCGAAUCGCUUCCGCAAAAAGGUACGAACGAAUACUUUCGCUGCGUUCAACAUAGCUGGCAGUCAAAAUAUACACCCAUCUAUUCAUAGUCGAAAAUUACGAUAUUACACUUGUGCUACAUCAUUAAUAACAAGUAAAUCACAUCUCUUCUCAGGAGAAAAGUAUAAUAAAAAUACUUUUUAAUAAUUUUGACAGGAUAGAUGGACUGAAAAGAAAUAAUUUUAUUAGUUUGAAAUGUCACAUGAGUAAUAUAACCGGUGUAUUCUAGAUUUUUUUUCUAUCCAUAUUGGUGCUCAGUUGUAUCCAAACUUCUCACAAACGUUGGGCUAAGUGAAUCACAAACCUUACAUUAAUUACCCAGCCCGCUAUCCACUUGCAAAUAACGUCUCUGCACUGAAA
Molecule: long non-coding RNA, 854 nt
Filed under: Ananas comosus (pineapple)
Lineage: Eukaryota; Viridiplantae; Streptophyta; Magnoliopsida; Poales; Bromeliaceae
Description: long non-coding RNA (ACOM_LNC044917)
Source: RNAcentral